This is a long non-coding RNA of Panicum virgatum (switchgrass), 849 nucleotides long. RefSeq lists it as uncharacterized. The record is from RefSeq and is a predicted model, not a curated record. The transcript is spliced from 2 exons. Lineage: Eukaryota; Viridiplantae; Streptophyta; Magnoliopsida; Poales; Poaceae.
CGCUGGAGGCCGCAUAUGCGUUUGCGGUAGUUGCAGACACGCGGCGGAUAGCUCGCAACCCGCCCCGCCUACAUUAUUAGCUCCGUCCCAAUCUGCUCCGCUCGAGCCCGCCCGGUCACCUGCAACUCCAAAAAGCUGGAGGAAACUGUCAAGCGCGAGUCUCGCGAGCUUGUAGCUCAGUCACAUAUGAUUUUUGCUGAGGUUGAGGAGAGAGAAAGAGGAGAGAGAGAAAAGCUGUUGUCUCCUCAAACAACUGGCUCGUCAAUGAUUUUUUCGCUCUAUGAGACGACUUGGCACGGUUGAACACCUAUCGUUGUUUCGGCAGGCAAUUUUUUCCACUCCGUGGAUCCGCUGCACCAACUCGUCUUCCCUCUCCUUCCCGCAUGAAAUCGAUUCUAGCGCGAAGCUAAACUAAUUUUUCCGUGGUUCCAUGAUUCCUCCUCCUGUGUUCCCUCCAGAUGUACAUGAAUCAGGAACAUAUCAGGGUCAUCCAUCUCAAUUCACAGCAUCCCUCCCCCACCACCCAGCUCAAGGCGGCAGAGCACAUGGCUCCCCUGGCCACUGCCCCAAACGGCGCCCGUCCUGGUCGCCCCUGCCCACCACGCCCCUCCCCGCCGCCCCAGCCUGCGAGCAUGGCUCCUCAAUCAAAGAUAACAGCAGCGCAGCAGGCGUCUCCUCCGCCGCCGAUGCCGGAAUUACAGGCUGCUCUAGGUUCAAUUGCUGCUACCCCGACAUGGUUGUCAGUGCCUCCCUGCUUUUAUGCCUAGCUGUUCUCCUCCUAUGGUCCAUAGAUCAAAUCUGAACUCAACUGACGAUGCAAUCCUAAUUGGCUUCAACGUUUGGUCCAGA